GACGAACGCUGGCGGCGUGCCUAAUACAUGCAAGUUGAGCGCUGAAGGUUGGUACUUGUACCAACUGGAUGAGCAGCGAACGGGUGAGUAACGCGUGGGGAAUCUGCCUUUGAGCGGGGGACAACAUUUGGAAACGAAUGCUAAUACCGCAUAAAAACUUUAAACACAAGUUUUAAGUUUGAAAGAUGCAAUUGCAUCACUCAAAGAUGAUCCCGCGUUGUAUUAGCUAGUUGGUGAGGUAAAGGCUCACCAAGGCGAUGAUACAUAGCCGACCUGAGAGGGUGAUCGGCCACAUUGGGACCGAGACACGGCCCAAACUCCUACGGGAGGCAGCAGUAGGGAAUCUUCGGCAAUGGACGAAAGUCUGACCGAGCAACGCCGCGUGAGUGAAGAAGGUUUUCGGAUCGUAAAACUCUGUUGGUAGAGAAGAACGUUGGUGAGAGUGGAAAGCUCAUCAAGUGACGGUAACUACCCAGAAAAGGACGGCUAACUACGU
Molecule: ribosomal RNA, 496 nt
Filed under: uncultured bacterium
Lineage: Bacteria
Description: partial 16S ribosomal RNA
Rfam family: Bacterial small subunit ribosomal RNA
Source: RNAcentral